Ribosomal RNA from Schizosaccharomyces cryophilus OY26, 125 nucleotides. The record is from Rfam. Lineage: Eukaryota; Fungi; Ascomycota; Schizosaccharomycetes; Schizosaccharomycetales; Schizosaccharomycetaceae.
GUCUACGGCCACACCUAGGCGAAAACACCAGCUCCCGUCCGAUCACUGCAAUUAAGUGAAAACGUCUGAAGGUCUCGUUAGUACUAUGGUAGAAGUCAACAUAGGAAUCCGGGGUGCUGUAGGCU